Molecule: ribosomal RNA, 492 nt
Filed under: uncultured bacterium
Lineage: Bacteria
Description: partial 16S ribosomal RNA
Rfam family: Bacterial small subunit ribosomal RNA
Source: RNAcentral
AGUGAACGCUGGCGGUAGGCCUAACACAUGCAAGUCGAACGGCAGCACAGUAAGAGCUUGCUCUUACGGGUGGCGAGUGGCGUACGGGUGAGGAAUACAUCGGAAUCUACUUUUUCGUGGGGGAUAACGUAGGGAAACUUACGCUAAUACCGCAUACGACCUACGGUUGAAAGCAGGGGAUCUUCGGACCUUGCGCGAUUGAAUGCGCCGAUGUCGGAUUAGCUAGUUGGCGGGGUAAAGGCCCACCAAGGCGACGAUCCGUAGCUGGUCUGAGUGGAUGAUCAGCCACACUGGAACUGAGACACGGACCAGAGUACUAAGGGAGGCAGCAGUGGGGAAUAUUGGGCAAUGGGCGCAAGCAUGAUCCAGUCAUACCGCGUGGGUGAAGAAGGCCUUCGGGUUGUAAAGCCCUUUUGUUGGGAAAGAAAAGCAGCAGGUUAAUACCCCGCUGUUCUGACGGUACCCAAAGAAUAAGCACCGGCUAACUUCGUG